UAACUUAUCAACACAUGCGGAAUGUCUAUUAGAAUGGCGGACAAUGUGAUCGAUAUUAUUUCAGAUAACUUUAAAUGAAAACCUGAAACACUCUAAAAUAAUAAAACUUUUUUUUCUGAUGAACAUCGUUUACGACAUUGAUAUAAAACUUGGACAAUUUUAAUUGGUUUGGAAAUCAACAUGUUAUACAAUCAAAGCUGCAAACUAUUAAAGUUUUUUGGGACAAGUUACUGCAUAAUGUCCUUCUCGGAAGAAACUGCAACGUCUCCCUUUCCUUUUGAAGGUUCCAUUACUGCAUCCUUUAUAGCAUCUUGGCAUUGUCUCUGCUAUGUCUGGAAGAUCAUGUACCUCAUUAGAUUGGACAUUUUGAUUCUCUUCAUCGACGACCCCAUCUCUUCAAACAAAGUAACAGAAAUUAGAGAAAAUAUUUAAGAAAUAGAAAUUGGAUACUUGUUGUAUUCAUACGCGCUUAAGGAUUAGUCAGACCAAAAAUAAUAAUUGAAAUGGUUUGAGGAGCUUACCCUUCAAUGUUUUCCAUGAUUGAUGU
This 547-nucleotide long non-coding RNA is filed under the name Linum usitatissimum (flax). RNAcentral describes it as "long non-coding RNA (LUSI_LNC004804)". Lineage: Eukaryota; Viridiplantae; Streptophyta; Magnoliopsida; Malpighiales; Linaceae. The record is from RNAcentral.